UACGGAGGGUGCAAGCGUUAUCCGGAUUCACUGGGUUUAAAGGGUGUGUAGGCGGGCUGUUAAGUCAGUGGUAAAAUCUCCGGGCUCAACCCGGAAACUGCCAUUGAUACUAUCAGUCUUGAAUACCGUUGAGGUGGGCGGAAUAUGUCAUGUAGCGGUGAAAUGCAUAGAUAUGACAUAGAACACCAAUUGCGAAGGCAGCUCACUAAACGGUCAUUGACGCUGAGGCACGAAAGCGUGGGGAUCAAACAGG
Molecule: ribosomal RNA, 253 nt
Filed under: uncultured bacterium
Lineage: Bacteria
Description: partial 16S ribosomal RNA
Rfam family: Bacterial small subunit ribosomal RNA
Source: RNAcentral